AUUGAACGCUGGCGGCAUGCCUAACACAUGCAAGUCGAACGGCAACGACGUCUAGCUUGCUAGACGGGUGGCGAGUGGCGAACGGGUGAGUAACGCGUAGGAAUAUACCUUGAAGUGGGGGACGAACUUGGGGAAACGUACAAGCUAAUACCGCAUGUGCUCUGAGGAGUAAAGACUGGGGACCGUUUGGGUCCGUGGCGGCUUUAAGUAUUAGCCUGCGUCCGAUUAGCUAGUUGGUGAGGUAAGGGCGUUACCAAGGCGACGAUCGGUAGCUGGUCUGAGAGGAUGGCCAGCCACACUGGAACUGAGACACGGUCCAGACUCCUACGGGAGGCAGCAGUGGGGAAGU
RNAcentral lists this ribosomal RNA (349 nucleotides) under uncultured bacterium. RNAcentral's name for it is "bacterial SSU rRNA". It matches the Rfam family "Bacterial small subunit ribosomal RNA", at positions 30 to 363 of the family's 1533-position model. The record is from RNAcentral.